RNAcentral lists this ribosomal RNA (505 nucleotides) under uncultured bacterium. Its description in RNAcentral is "partial 16S ribosomal RNA". It matches the Rfam family "Bacterial small subunit ribosomal RNA", at positions 29 to 523 of the family's 1533-position model. The record is from RNAcentral.
AUUGAACGCUGGCGGCAGGCCUAACACAUGCAAGUCGAACGGUAGCACAGAGAGCUUGCUCCUCGGGUGACGAGUGGCGGACGGGUGAGUAAUGUCUGGGGAUCUGCCCGAUAGAGGGGGAUAACCACUGGAAACGGUGGCUAAUACCGCAUAACGUCGCAAGACCAAAGAGGGGGACCUUCGGGCCUCUCACUAUCGGAUGAACCCAGAUGGGAUUAGCUAGUAGGCGGGGUAACGGCCCACCUAGGCGACGAUCCCUAGCUGGUCUGAGAGGAUGACCAGCCACACUGGAACUGAGACACGGUCCAGACUCCUACGGGAGGCAGCAGUGGGGAAUAUUGCACAAUGGGCGCAAGCCUGAUGCAGCCAUGCCGCGUGUAUGAAGAAGGCCUUCGGGUUGUAAAGUACUUUCAGCGGGGAGGAAGGCGAUGUGGUUAAUAACCGCGUCGAUUGACGUUACCCGCAGAAGAAGCACCGGCUAACUCCGUGCCAGCAGCCGCGGUAA